RNAcentral lists this ribosomal RNA (496 nucleotides) under uncultured bacterium. RNAcentral describes it as "partial 16S ribosomal RNA". It matches the Rfam family "Bacterial small subunit ribosomal RNA", at positions 28 to 506 of the family's 1533-position model. The record is from RNAcentral.
GAUGAACGCUGGCGGCGUGCCUAAUACAUGCAAGUCGAGCGAACAGAUGAGGAGCUUGCUCCUCUGACGUUAGCGGCGGACGGGUGAGUAACACGUGGAUAACCUACCUAUAAGACUGGGAUAACUUCGGGAAACCGGAGCUAAUACCGGAUAAUAUAUUGAACCGCAUGGUUCAAUAGUGAAAGACGGUUUUGCUGUCACUUAUAGAUGGUUCCGCGCCGCAUUAGCUAGUUGGUAAGGUAACGGCUUACCAAGGCAACGAUGCGUAGCCGACCUGAGAGGGUGAUCGGCCACACUGGAACUGAGACACGGUCCAGACUCCUACGGGAGGCAGCAGUAGGGAAUCUUCCGCAAUGGGCGAAAGCUUGACGGAGCAACGCCGCGUGAGUGAUGAAGGUCUUCGGAUCGUAAAACUCUGUUAUUAGGGAAGAACAAAUGUGUAAGUAACUAUGCACGUCUUGACGGUACCUAAUCAGAAAGCCACGGCUAACUACGU